Molecule: long non-coding RNA, 5060 nt
Organism: Cyprinus carpio carpio
Lineage: Eukaryota; Metazoa; Chordata; Actinopteri; Cypriniformes; Cyprinidae
Source: Ensembl
AGUGCUAUUAUUUGACCUGUUUGCUAUUCUUUUACAUACAGUAAGUGCUUCUUUAUUUGGCACUUUAUUAUGCAGUGCAAUGCAAAUUUCAGCAGAUGUUAACCAGCCAGCAUGAUGAAGUCCCAGAAGGCCACAGGCAGUGCUUGUGGCUGAAUGGAAGCUAAAUGGAUGAGUUCACACAUACCUGCAUAUGACUAUGCUUAAGUGAUUACAUCAGAUGGAAGGCAGAUUUGCACAGGAAGUUGAGGAUAAGUAUCACAGGUUUCCAUUUUCCAUAAAAAUAAAGUUUGUAUGACUAUACUGUAUGUUUUCAUUAGAAAUCUCAUUGGACGGUCAACAAUUUGCAUUCGUUUUGUAAGAAGUUUUACAGUUUAUCUUUCUAUAUUUAUUCUAUACAAAUAUGUGAUUCAAAAUCUAUGUUUUCAAAUAUAUUUACAUAAUGCUUUACUCAAAUUAUGUUAAUGAUGUAAUAUGUUAUGAAAACUGUCUCAAAUAAGAAAAUUAAUGCAUUGUUUUGCUGUUUUAAACUGCCCUUGUAGUUGAACAGCAGAUGUGGACCUUUAGAUUAUUAAUUAGCUGUCAUGUUUUGAGACAAACUAGUGAAGAGAGAUAGACACAUGAUGGUUAGAUGAUGGGGGAAGUGGAGCAGAUGGAGAGUCACUGAUGGAGGACAUCAAGAUGGCAAACAGGAAAUAGCUAAAUGUAGUAUCUCAUGGGUAUAUAUUAUACUUAAGUUUGUCAUCAUCAAGUCUAAUGAUUAAAAUCUGUGCUGGCAACUUAAAACGUCAAAAUUGUUAUAUUUAACCUUAAUAAUAAUUCAAUCUGUUGUACUCUCAGUGAGCAAGUGUUGUCACUGUCAAUAAGAGUAUGCUUGCAAUGAGUUGGUCGAGCAUUUGUGAGUAUUUUUCUGUCACUUUGGAUAAAAUUAGAAGGUUAAAUGCAUUAAUGAUCUUAGGGAGAAAAAUAACCCAUGAAGCUCCAGCAACAAAUAAGCCGAAGCAUCAAGAAAUAGUAAAAGCAACUGAAUUGCCAAAGCUAGCAGGCACUUUGGCAGCAAACAUCUCGCAGCGACAACGUCCAUGUGUUUGUGUGUUGAUUCCAUUUGUAACUGCAAAGGAUUAUCAUCAGACCUUGAGCUGAUUUCUGUGGGGCAGCGGUGUUUCUCACAGCUGUUUACUAUGUGUUUAUGAAAUGACAGUCUCUCUGGGGAAAAAUCUGAUCAGACUUGUUUUCUUCCAAAACAAGCAACAUUUAGUACAUGUUAUUUGUUGUUCACACAUGAUGAGAGACACAUUUAAAGUCAGAGUGAAAUGUAACCCAUUUUUCCUAUGUGAUGGAUUUUUUGGAGCCUGACCAAAUGCAAGUUUGCUAUUGAGUAAAAUUAACCAAUAGAGUACAAAAGUCAGGUUCUGGAAGUAAAAAUUCCAUUUAUUUUCUUCAGAGGAAACUCAUAUUUAAUGAUAACCAAAAGAACAGACAUACAAGAUGUUGAUAGACAGUAUAUGCUUUUGUUGAAGCCAUCAGUUUGCAUUAUUUCAAAACUACAUUACCCAUGAUCAUGCCUCCUUUGCGAUAUGAUUGGAUAUGACUUAUGUUCAGCUGUGAUUGGUUCAUGUGAUAAAUCCUACCUGUUGUGUUUGUGUGUGGUCCAGAAUCAGUCUUAAUGAACAAUAUAAUGGCGUUAAUGGGAAGACUAAUUUAAAAAAGUAAAGAAACAUCUCACACACUAAGAUAUAACCACUUUGUUUUGUCAAAAUAAGACUUAAAAUGACAAAACGUGAUCUUUGGGAGUUUUUAGUGAGUAAUCAGCUUGGUGAAAUUUGAAACGUUUAAAAACACAAAUUUGAUGAGUUUUCUGUAACAGCCAAGAUGUAAUAAAAUAUUUUCUGGUCCUUGUUAAGUCUUAAAAUUUGGAAAAUAAAGCCUCAGAUGAACAAUAUCACAUAACAUAUCACACCUUGUCAUUAUUUAUUUCACAAAAAUAAAUCCAAGAUGGAAAAGCCAUGUGUGACAAAGAUUGGACACCCUAUGAUUCAACUGCCUGUAGAUCCAGUUUUAGCAGCAAUAACUUGAAGUAGUCAUAUUCUGUAUGACUUCAUCAGUCUCUCACAUUGUUCUGGAAGAAUUUUGGCCCACUCUUCUUUACAACACUGCUCCAGUUUUUGAGGUUUGUGGGCAUUUGUUUAUGCACAGCUCUCACCACAGCAUUUCAGUCAGGAUGAGCUCUGGACUUUGAAUGAGCUAUUCUUUUCUUAUCAGCCGUUCUGUUGUAGAUUUGCUGGUGUACUUGGGAUCAUUGUCCUGUUGCAUGACCCAAUUUUGGCCCAGCUUUAACUGUCCUCACAUUUGACUCUAGAAUAGUUUGAUAAACAGAGAAGUUUAUAUGGUCAACUCAAUGACUCCCAGGUCCUGUAGCUAUAAAACAAGCCCAAAAUAAUCACCGCUCCACAAGCAUUUGUGCCUUAUGGAUUUCAACCAAAUAUGGCACUGUGCAUUAUGGCAAAACAUCUCCACUUUGGUCUAGUCUGUUCAAAGGACAUUGUUCUAGAAGUCUCAUGAUUUGUUCAGAUGCAACUUUGAAAACCUAAACCAUGCUGCCAUAUUUUUAUUUUUAUUUUUUAUUUUUUCAUAGAAGAGGCUUUCUUCUGGCAAGCAUUCCAAACAUGCCAUACUUGUCCCAUAUUUUUCUAACUGUACUGUCAUGAACUUUAUCAUUUAACAUCUUAACUGAGGCCUGUAGAGUCUGUAGUGUAGUCUAGUUUUUAGGUUAUCUGUCAUUUCUCUGAGCAUUACACGGUCGGAUGUGAAUUUGCUGGGACAUCCACUCGAGGAUUGGUGUCUAUUUUGAAUGUCUCCAACUUGAGAAUAAACUUGCUCAAUGUAGAAUGAUGGACUUCAAAUUGUUUAGAAAUAGCUGUAUUACUCUUUCCAGUUUAAUGGCAGCAACGAUUGCUUCUAUAAGAUGACCGACGAAUUGGGAUAUCGCUUCGAUAGACCAAUCUAUUUUGAGUGUAAACUAAACGAGCCAAUGCACAUUGGCAUGCAAUUAUUGCAUCCAGCUGUUGCUGAUCACAGCGUGAGUAUAAUAAGGCAGCAGUUGCAAUGCAUACCAGCUUUUUGCUUCAGAGCCGAGUGUUAAUAUCGUUCUGCUCAAACUGUGUCUAGUUGUGAACUACGAGUUCAGCACACUCUUGGAAGCUUUGUGUGUUGGUGAGACGGCGCUUCAGUGGUGGUCGUUCCCGAGUCGAGUGGGUUGUGCACUUCAGGCUGCAGUACCAGAGGUCGAUCUCAGCAUCGGAAGGAGAGCUGUCCGAUGAAGAUUCGGCCGUGCUGCCACCCUCCGGGAUGGUGGCAAAGCCUGAAUUGGAUCCAGAGAUGACAGCUAUGCUUUCCCGGGUGGCUGAGUGGGUAGGGCUCAAGUCCAACGCGUCCCUAGCCCUCGAGGUGGGAGGAUUGGUUUCUCGAGGUGGCUCGCGCUGGUUAUCAGCGCACCGCCCCGGUGCCUUUCUUCCCAGAAGUGCAUGACAAGCUUACCAGGUCGUGGACGGCCAGAAACUGGCCGGUUGGCUCCUCCUCCCUCACCACCCUCGAUGGCGAAGGGGUAUUCGGCGAUUCCCCCAGAGCAGGCGGUAGCAACGCAGUUGUGUCCUAAGUCUGCUUCCUGCUGGUGGGGAGACCCGGUGCUUCCUUCCCGGGCCGGUAGGCAUUUGUCUGGUCUAACUGGCAAUGCCUAUAUGGCUUGUGGGGAAGCUGCUUCCACCUUACAUGCUGUGGUGUUACUAAAGGUGCACCAGGCCAAGGCACUGAAGGACCUGCAAGAGGGUGGUCACGAUCCGGAAGUUCUGAAAAAACUCUGAACCGCCACUGACCUCGCGCUCCGAGUGACGAAAGCCACUGUGAGUUAUCUAGGUUGUGCGAUGUCCACUCUUGUGAUCCAGGAGUCUGGUUGAAAUGAGGGAUGCUGACAAAGAUCGGUUCCAUAAUGCCCCUGUGUCCCAGACCGGCCUCUUCGGUGACGCGGUCGAGAACCUGGCCCAGCAGUUCUCGGCUGCAUUGGAGCAGACUGAGGCCGUCCAACCUUCUGCCCGGCGGGCAGCUGCUGCCUCCACCCAUCUGCCGGCCACAGCGCCCCAGCCUGCUCGUCGCCGAGGGCCUCACUCAUCCUCCUCCUUCACCAGAUGACAGCAGAGGGCGGUUCGAGAGUUUCAACAAGGGCCCUACUCACGCACCCCACACUCACACCCCUCUCCGGCCUGCUCACAAGCCGCCCAAAUUGGGUCCCUGUGUUCCACGUCGCUGUCCCACUGUGGUUACGGCUGUGGUUCCACUGGUCCUGCUUGUACGGUUUCUAAGCGCCUGUUCAGUGCUACCCAGCCCGUCUUGCUGGCUUCUGCAGACCAUCAGCCUCAACUAUGCGAUUCAGUUCACCCCGCGUCCCCCCAAGUUCAGCGGUAUCCGCUUCACUACAGUGAAAGUGUCCGAUGCCCCUGUUCUGCGGGUAGAGAUUGCAGUCCUACUGGCGAAGGACACGAUAGAACCGGCCCCUCCAGCUAAUAUGAGGUCGGGGUUGUAUAGCCCUUACUUUAUUGUACCCAAGAAAGGCGGUGGGUUACGGCCAGUCUUGGAUCUGCGAGUUUUGAACCAGGCCCUUCAUUGGCUAACGUUCAAGAUGUUGAAGCAGUAAUGCAUCUUUGGGUAUGUCCAUUCCCGAGAUUGGUUUGCAGUGAUCGACCUGAAGGACACAUACUUUCUUGUGUCGAUCCUUCCACGCCACAGACCAUUUCUGCGGUUUGCGUUCGAAGGAUGGGCAUAUCAGUAUUAGGUCCUGUCCUUCGGGCUGUCCCUGUCUCCCCGUGUCUUCACGAAAGUUGCAGAGGUGGCUCUUGCUCCCCUAAGAGAGCAGGGUUUUCGCAUCAUCAACUAUCUAGACGGACGAGGAGCAAGUCUUGAUAGUGGCACCGUAUUGGCCCAUUUGGACCUGGUUCCCUGAACUAGUUCUCCUCGCGACAGCCCCUCCUUGGCCCAUUCCUCUGAGGAGGGAUCUACUGACUCAGAGAUGG